GUUUGUUGAAAAUGAACUAAUCAUAGAUACCAGGAAUAAAAUUUAAUAUUUACGCCAGACGCACGUAUCGUCUACAAAAGACUCAUCAGUGACGCUCGAAUCAAAAAUGUAAUAAAAGGUCAAAUAAAGUACGAAGUUGAAGAGCAUUGAAAAUUCUUACGAAUGGUUUUGUUUCCUUGUUAUGGAAUAAUUUGAUACAGGUUUAUUUCCGGCUUAAGGGUAAUACAUGGAUGACAGACGUAAGAUUUAGUAUACAUGAGUAGUCAUGCUACAUUUUGAACCAGAUUUCUCUCAACUUGUUUCAUUUUAUCUCUAAUAUCUUGCCUGCUGAUAUAAGAAAUUCCUUUUAAAGAUCUGAACCUCUCCGACAUUUUUUAACUUUCUGCUCAUUCAAAUUAAACAGGCA
RNAcentral lists this long non-coding RNA (406 nucleotides) under Mytilus galloprovincialis (Mediterranean mussel). The record is from RNAcentral. Lineage: Eukaryota; Metazoa; Mollusca; Bivalvia; Mytilida; Mytilidae.